GAUUUCCACCAACCAGUUUGGUAUUUCACCAGUAAGAUGGUUCUUUGAGAGAUCUAACAUUGACACGAUUGAUUGGUUUUUAAGGAAGGAAAUAUUCUGCAGAUUGCAUGAUGCUAACAUGAAGCUAUUUAGCUGGGGUAGCAAAGCAAGUUCUGAUUCACUUAUAGUUGUGUCAACUGAUAAAUUGUUGUGGGACAGAUCAAGAUCUACUAGUUUACUGAGGUUGGUGAACUUUUUCAACUGCACAGUACCGUUAAACUUGUUGAAUGAAAGUGAAAGAUCGUAAAGACCAUGC
Molecule: unclassified non-coding RNA, 295 nt
Filed under: Hevea brasiliensis (rubber tree)
Lineage: Eukaryota; Viridiplantae; Streptophyta; Magnoliopsida; Malpighiales; Euphorbiaceae
Source: RNAcentral